Myotis myotis is the source of this 1815-nucleotide long non-coding RNA. RefSeq lists it as uncharacterized. The transcript is spliced from 3 exons. The record is from RefSeq and is a predicted model, not a curated record. NCBI's taxonomy places the organism in Eukaryota, Metazoa, Chordata, Mammalia, Chiroptera, Vespertilionidae.
CACAGGCUCUUACCUGGCAAGGGACCCUCCAAUUCUGCUCAGGUUUUUCAUAUUUUCAGGUGAAACGGACACGGAAUGAUGAGGGAGUCAUCAAUUCUACUGUCUGGAUGGGAAAUCCUCUAAUGUCGCUCUCUACGAACCCUGGACCUACUCCUAUGCCCACCCUCAUCAACACAACUUCCCAUCUACUCUCUAACAUCAAUCCCUCCUCCUCUACAUCCUGCUGGAUUUCUGUCACUGGCUCGAACCCUCAUCAUAGCCACUCAAUUCCAACCUAUUGAACCAUCUAACUAAACUCUCUCUAGAAAUUCGCAGCUCCUGGCCGGACCUCCUGCCCAUGGCCCUGGCCAAACUCCAGCUACACCAAGGAGCCCCAUUUUCUUGAGCCCUUUUGACUCUUCUUGCUCAACCACCGUCUUCUGACUGAUCCCCCUCCCCUGGGUACGUCUCUCCCAUAUCUGUCUUUAACCAGGCAAUUGCUCUGAGAACACGAGAGCAGGUUUCUGCCCAAGCCAGAGCCGACCGACCAGGACUCCCAAGUCCAGCCCUUCACACUGGUGACUCGGUCCUCCUUAAGAACCUACAACCACAAGCCUUGGAGCCUAGGUGGACGGGACUUCACACUGUAAUCCUCUCAGCCCCCACUGCGGCCAAGCUGCUUGGCGACUCCAGCUUGACGACCUGUCCUGGCACCACCUCUCCAGACUCAAGAGGACCCCGGAGCAGCAUGACUUCUAUAAAUGUUCAAGGUCCGUGAAACCUACUACCAGAACAGCAAACAAGUCACCUGGCAGCGGAACCCAGACAGAUGUAAUCAAGAUGUCAACACCUAUGGGGUUGCCACAGAAGAGACUAUCAUACCACAUUGCAGCCAGUCUCACCAAGGCCAGCCCAGGUACCUUCUUUUGGUGCAACGGCACCUUAAGGAACUGCAUGAACUCCUCUGACCCCAGGCCUUGCUUCGUGGUCACAGUAGUUCCCCAACUAACCUUGUAUGGAGAGUCGGAGCUCACUGGUUGCUCCCUCCAUCCCAUCCCUGGACCCGCUGGGCUGCCUUCCCCCCUGUCAUUUUAGGGGUGAGUAUCGCUGCCUCAGUAGGCCUCACUGGGGGGACCUCGGGAACAGUCUGGUCACUGCUCAGUACUUUAAUGACAAGCUCCAGUUAGCCGUGGAGUCUACUACCGCCUCUUUUUAGCCUCCCUACAGUGACAAGUGACAUCAGUAGCCCAAGUAGCCCUGCAGAACCAGCUCGCCUCAGACCUUCUGACUGCAGAAAAAGGAGGAACCUGCAUAUUCCUUCAGGAAGAAUGCUGUUACUACAUCGAGUCCGGAGUAGUGGAGCAAAACGUAAACGUACAGACCCUGACUAAGCUGAGUGAAGAACUACAUGCAGGACACUUCCAGAACAACUCUCCUUCCGGCUGGUUCCAAAGCCCCUUAGCCACCUGGGUCCUACCCAUGAUAGGGCCCCUGAUUCUCAUCUGUGUUCUUUUUUCUCCUAGCCCCCUGCCUCCUCAAGUUCAUCCACUCCCGAAUCUCGGAGAUGUCACGAGUGACUGUGAAUCAGCUCCUGCUCAAUCCCUACACUCGGCUCCCCUCCGACCUGCCUCUGCCAAACCCUGGCCUUUAACCGCCCCCCCUACGCCGCCCGUGGUCAGCUGGAAGUAGCUAGAAAGAGUCGUCGUCCCCUAUCACCAAAAGGCCGGGAUGUUAGGUUGGAGAGAGCCCAGGAUCGGAUACAUGCAGACAUGACAAGAUAAUGGACUUCCCCUGGAAUUUCUCACAGAUCAAGGUGCCAGACACAGAUACCAGCUU